GUCGACGGAACCCUUCGGGGGGAAGUCGAUGGAAUGAGCGGCGGACGGGUGAGUAACACGUAAAGAACCUGCCCUCAGGUCUGGGAUAACCACGAGAAAUCGGGGCUAAUACCGGAUGGGUCAUCGGACCGCAUGGUCCGAGGAUGAAAGGCGCUCCGGCGUCGCCUGGGGAUGGCUUUGCGGUGCAUUAGCUAGUUGGUGGGGUAAUGGCCCACCAAGGCGACGAUGCAUAGCCGACCUGAGAGGGUGAUCGGCCACACUGGGACUGAGACACGGCCCAGACUCCUACGGGAGGCAGCAGUAGGGAAUCUUCCACAAUGGACGAAAGUCUGAUGGAGCAACGCCGCGUGAACGAUGAAGGCCCUCGGGUCGUAAAGUUCUGUUGUAAGGGAAGAACAAGUGCCGCAGGCAAUGGCGGCACCUUGACGGUACCUUGCGAGAAAGCCACGGCUAACUACGUGCCAGCAGCCGCGGUAAUACGUAGGUGGCAAGCGUUGUCCGGAAUUAUUGGGCGUAAAGCGCGCGCAGGCGGCCUCUUAAGUCUGAUGUGAAAGCCCCCGGCUCAACCGGGGAGGGCCAUUGGAAACUGGGAGGCUUGAGUAUAGGAGAGAAGAGUGGAAUUCCACGUGUAGCGGUGAAAUGCGUAGAGAUGUGGAGGAACACCAGUGGCGAAGGCGACUCUUUGGCCUAUAACUGACGCUGAGGCGCGAAAGCGUGGGGAGCAAACAGGAUUAGAUAC
This 739-nucleotide ribosomal RNA is filed under the name Exiguobacterium sp. RNAcentral's name for it is "bacterial SSU rRNA". It matches the Rfam family "Bacterial small subunit ribosomal RNA", at positions 61 to 785 of the family's 1533-position model. Lineage: Bacteria; Bacillati; Bacillota; Bacilli; Caryophanales. The record is from RNAcentral.